GUCAGUAGCACUCACGGUCUUGUUAAAAUUCUUACUUUAUUAUUCCAAGUUAAAAAAAACAAAACAUUUUUUAACCUGGAAUAAUAAAGUAAGAAUUUUAACAAGACUGUGAGUGCUACUGAC
This is a non-coding RNA of Pelobates cultripes (western spadefoot toad), 123 nucleotides long. NCBI's taxonomy places the organism in Eukaryota, Metazoa, Chordata, Amphibia, Anura, Pelobatidae. The record is from the annotation of a GenBank genome assembly.